CAAUAGCGUAUAUUAAAGUUGUUGCAGUUAAAAAGCUCGUAGUUGGAUUUCUGGUAGGAGUGACCGUUCCGAACUUGAUUGUUCGUGUAUUGUGUUUUCUCCAGCCAUCCUUGUGGAGAACUUUUCUUGCAUUAAUUUGUAGGGAUUGGGACCCGCAUCGUUUACUGUGAAAAAAUUAGAGUGUUUAAAGCAGGCAAUCGCUUGAAUACAUUAGCAUGGAAUAAUAAGAUAGGACUUUGGUACUAUUUUGUUGGUUUGCAUACCAAAUUAAUGAUCAACAGGAACAGUUUGAGGAUAUUCGUAUGAACAUGUCAGAGGUGAAAUUCUUGGAUUUUGAUCAGACGAACUACUGCGAAAGCAUUUAUCAAGGAUGUUUNCAUUAG
This 383-nucleotide ribosomal RNA is filed under the name uncultured eukaryote. RNAcentral describes it as "partial 18S ribosomal RNA". It matches the Rfam family "Eukaryotic small subunit ribosomal RNA", at positions 592 to 976 of the family's 1831-position model. The record is from RNAcentral.